Molecule: long non-coding RNA, 1405 nt
Organism: Nasonia vitripennis (jewel wasp)
Lineage: Eukaryota; Metazoa; Arthropoda; Insecta; Hymenoptera; Pteromalidae
Exons: 2
Source: RefSeq, a predicted model, not a curated record
GCUCUCGAGUUUUUUCAAAAUAAAGCUCAAUACACGCGCGCGACGUUGCGUUAUUGGGUGGCAACAGCUGCUGAACGCGAGCGAUGUAACAGCGGAAGAGUUAGUGUCAGCUAUAGAAAAACUCGUCUUCGACACUCGACACAUGUGAUCCGAAUUACGUACGAAGACAAGCUGCAAACCAUGACCACUCGUAACCCAUAUACGGUGCACACGCGGAAGAAGAUCACAGGUGUUGAGUGUGUCUGUGUAGACGAAGGUGAGUAUAGCUUGACACGAGGUAUAGUAUAGUGUUAUUAAUAAAAAAACUCACCCGCUUGUAGAUUGCCUCUGGGUUUGGCGCCGAUUAUCGCCAGAUUGACGUUGGCUUUACGGCCGUCGAUUAUGGGGUUGGGAUCCUUGCAGGCCCGCUCCGCCGCCGGCCUGUCUCCCAUGAUCACCUGGAGAAGCACACAACCAGAAGGGCAUCGCUUUAUUAACCACGAAGCUCACUCGCCUCAUACUUCCGCGAUCUGUGUUUAUCUCUUUCUUUUUCUUUGAUGUUGUUUGUUUAUUUUUUUGCUGUUUCAAAAAAAUUCAAUCGCGAUACCUUCUUCCAUGUAAUAAUAAUAAACCGACGAGCUAUUCUACCCACUACUGCACAUAGCUGCCUGUGCAGCGUAUACGAUAAGGCCUUAAAAUAAUACAUUCCUAUAGCGAAGACUGUUCUUUCUCACGUUUGGAAACCAGAAUUUUCAUAUUAUCGCGCGGCCGAUAAGGCGAAGCUCGAGCAGGUUCUUUCCUUCGUGGGCACACAGGUACACUCACACAUACGCUCUGUAUACACACAGGCUCGACAUCGCGCAGAGGUGUGUACCGUUGUUGUUGUCGCGCUCUUUUAUAUUUCUCUUUAUCCAGUACGGCGCUCGUUUAAAUCGCCGAAGCGUGUCUCUUCGUAGGUAGGUCGGCCCACAAAGACUCUACACGCGGCUAUUUGUAUAAUACGCACACACACAUUCGGCCGGAGAGUUGCAGGAAGACGAGCUAUCCUCGGCGAGGUGCCUUUUAGGCUUUAUCGCGUCGAGUUAUCAAUGACGUCUACGACGAGCUCGGAAUCGCUAAUUUCCCUAUAUACGUGUGCUGGCUUCGUCUCUUAUUCCGCGGCUUUUUUUGUAAUCGUCGUCGAGUGAUAGAUCGAUUCCACACGUACGAGUGGCGCUUCAAUGUCGGAAGUGCUCGCGCGGAGCGUUUUUUUUUAUGCGGUGGAAGAGCUUGAAAAUUUAUUUAUUAAAUCAAGUAUGGUGUUCUAGAACAAACAUUUGGUGUGUUAUUAAUUCGCAUCGACUAGUUGAUAUAAGUAAGCAAAGGUUCUCCAACGAUUAAUGCGUAUGUAAAUCAAUUGAAAUAAAAGGAAGAAACAACAGAAAAA